CCUACGGGGUGCACCAGUAGGGAGUCUUCGGCAAUGGACGAAAGUCUGACCGAGCAACGCCGCGUGAGUGAAGAAGGUUUUCGGAUUGUAAAACUCUGUUGUUAGAGAAGAACAAGUAGGAGAGUAACUGCUCUUACCUUGACGGUAUCUAACCAGAAAGCCACGGCUAACUACGUGCCAGCAGCCGCGGUAAUACGUAGGUGGCAAGUGUUGUCCGGAUUUAUUGGGCGUAAAGCGAGCGCAGGCGGUCUUUUAAGUCUGAUGUGAAAGCCCUCGGCUCAACCGAGGAAGGUCAUUGGAAACUGGAGGACUUGAGUGCAGAAGAGGAGAGUGGAAUUCCAUGUGUAGCGGUGGAAUGCGUAGAUAUAUGGAGGAACACCAGUGGCGAAGGCGACUCUCUGGUCUGUAACUGACGCUGAGGCUCGAAAGCGUGGGGAGCAAACAGGAUUAGAUACCCUAGUAGUC
This 465-nucleotide ribosomal RNA is filed under the name uncultured bacterium. Its description in RNAcentral is "bacterial SSU rRNA". It matches the Rfam family "Bacterial small subunit ribosomal RNA", at positions 338 to 795 of the family's 1533-position model. The record is from RNAcentral.